This is a long non-coding RNA of Pipra filicauda (Wire-tailed manakin), 231 nucleotides long. RefSeq lists it as uncharacterized. The transcript has 3 exons. The record is from RefSeq and is a predicted model, not a curated record. NCBI's taxonomy places the organism in Eukaryota, Metazoa, Chordata, Aves, Passeriformes, Pipridae.
AGGUCCCCCUGUCUAUGUGGCUGACUUUGCUAACUCAUUUCUUUGCAGCAUCAGAUGGACUGGAUGUAAAGCAGAGAUGAACAGAGGAGGCUGGAGGAGCACAGUCAGAAGAUGCAGAGCCCUCGGCCCAACAGACGAUAGGCACCAGAGGGAAGGUGAGCCCGGUGAGGAAGGCAGUGCACAGACUUCUAACGCGCAGUCCAACGUGACAGGGACCCUGCCUGUAAGAGG